RNAcentral lists this long non-coding RNA (512 nucleotides) under Athene cunicularia (burrowing owl). Its description in RNAcentral is "lncRNA (ENSACUG00000014447.1)". The record is from RNAcentral. Lineage: Eukaryota; Metazoa; Chordata; Aves; Strigiformes; Strigidae.
GGGAGGCCGAGGACCUGAUGGCCCAAAGGGAACCCCAGGACUGCGGGGAGCCCGGGUAACUAAUGGGGUGCUGGUACUUGGAGCUGAAUCUUGGAGCAUCUUUGGCUGUGGGAGAUUGAAACCAUGGAGAUGCCUCGCUGGGUGGCUUGGGAUGUGCUGGGGCUGAGCCGUGGCAGAUCUGAGCAGCAGCUUUGCCUCCAGAUCUGCAGUUUUACAGCUGGCAGAAGGAUGCUUUUCUUAAUGCUCGCUGUUUUCCAGGGCCGUGUGGGUCAGCGUGGGCUGGUCGGCAUCCCUGGGCUGCCUGGCUCGCGGGGCAUCCUGGGAGCAGAAGGCGCAGAAGGAAAGCCUGGUACACAGGGUCCCCCAGGGACUGUGGGUAGCCCAGGCAGGAGGGGACCACUGGUGAGUAGAAUUGCACAGCUGUCUGAUUUCUGUCCUUCCUUCCCUCUGCUCAGGUGUUUCCCCUUGGGGAUAGGCCUCAAAAUCAUGUCCAUGGGAUGGGGUGCAGGUGG